Cyprinus carpio (common carp) is the source of this 1821-nucleotide long non-coding RNA. Lineage: Eukaryota; Metazoa; Chordata; Actinopteri; Cypriniformes; Cyprinidae. The record is from Ensembl.
AUGCCUAAGCUGAAGAGAUUUAGAAUGCGGCGUGAGCCAUCCAACAACAAACGCAAGGCAGAUGUUUCUAAUUCUGAUGCUUGUGUUUGUCCAGAUGUGGUGGGCAUUGUAGCAGCCAAUGAGGUUAGAUUGAAGUCUGCAGAGGUGACUGAGGAGUUUGUGGGAGUAGCUUGUAGUGUAGUUUCAGUUGUUAAGCACAAGAUACAGAAUGUGUGUACUUGGCAAAAAUCUGACAUUCAGGACAUACGUAGUGAGGGUAGUAAACUGAUCAAUGACGUGACUAGGUGUAAAAAAAAAACUGAGAGUUAUGGAGACUGUCGAUUUUCUCAAUGGUUUGGUGGCCAAUAUGACAUUUUCAGUAAAACAUGCAAAGUAACAAUAGAACAAUCACUGAAUGGAGCAAAAAAUGACUUGUAUGAGAAAUUACAGGAGAUUUUGUUUAGUCAUGAAUCUUGUUUGGUCAACAUAAAAGGAGACACGUGUGCUAUUGUGAGACAUAAUGAUUUCUAUGUUGUUGCUGACUGUAAUGUCCGAAACGCAUGUGGUUUGGGAUCAGACAUUGGAACUGCAGUUGUUGUUCUCAACACAAAUUGGCAUGACCUAUUUUUGCACAUUGAUAAUUUAAUGAUAAGUCUGAAUGCAGAAAACUUUAGCAUAUGUGGAAUCAAUGUCAACUUUACGUCAACAGAUACGCCACGAUUUGUUUACAAUGAUAAUUUUGGAGAAAAGAGUGUAUGUACAGCAAAUGAGACUGAAGAAAUCUCAGCUUCUACAAUAAAGCAAAGAGAAAGUGUUAGUAGCAUUUGUGGAUCAUUUCAUCAGGGUGACCUUAAGUUCAAGUGGCCAGGGAAACAGUGUGUUGCGAUUAGUUUGACUGCUAUAGCGAUGCACAGUGUACAUAGUGUGUUCUCAUGGGAAAGUAAAGAUCUAGAUAAUGUUGUAAAUACUGGCGAUAGCUUGUAUUCUAGUUUGCGUCAAAGUGGUUUAAUCAGUGAUCCAACAGGGAAAAACUUGCCGUGUAUACAAGAUCUUCCUAAAGAAUAUGCGUUUGGUACAAAUGCAUUCAAAUUUGAAUAUGCUGAUUUUGUUUCUGGAUAUGUAGAUGUGGUUGAUGCAGAUUUUAUUAGAUCUGGUGCAUGUGUGACAUUAGCUGAUGGAUUGCAAACAAUGUUUGCAAAAUAUGACACAUGCUUUUUUACCUUAAAUGGAAGUACUUGUGCCAUUAUUAAGGAAAAUGGUAAGUUUGCUGUGGUUGAUUCUCAUGCACGUAGCAGUGCUGGGAUGGUUGAUGGUAACGGCUUUAGUGUGGCUGUAUAUUAUAAUUCACUUAGUUGUGUUUUGAAGCACAUUGAAAAUUUGUCUGUAUUCACUAGAAGAAGCCAAAAGAUUUUUGAAAUAAGUGGUGUUUGUGUCCUAUUUAAAAGCCAAGACAAAUCUGCUAGUCACACAGAAAACAUAAAUGACGAAAGUGAAAAAACGACCUGCAGGGGUAAAAAAAGAAUGCACAAUUGUAUAAAUGUCAGUGUGGAAGAAGAGAAAGAAAUUGUGGUUACUAAGAAGCCGAGACAAUCUUUAAAAGAGAGCACUAAAAUACUUGAAACAAUUUCCAAAAUUGAUGCAAAUUCAGAUGUAGUUUGUUUGGGCAAUGAGACAAAUAGGAUUUUUAAUUUCAGUCCACUGUGUACUGAAGUAAAGCAUAAAUUAAGUAGUAAACUUAAUAUAGAGUUUAAUAGCGAAAAUUUAGUUUUUCCAACAAACAGCAGAAAAAUGGGCCAUCCGUGUAAAACAGAUAGUAUUGUAGGUGAUGGUAAUUGUUUUUUU